RNAcentral lists this long non-coding RNA (1008 nucleotides) under Chrysemys picta bellii (western painted turtle). RNAcentral describes it as "lncRNA (ENSCPBG00000017131.1)". Lineage: Eukaryota; Metazoa; Chordata; Testudines; Emydidae. The record is from RNAcentral.
CCUUAUUCUAAUACCAAGAGCAGACAUUUGUACCUACUCUUGCAGUGUAGCAGAGCUAAAAAAAACUCUCCAGGAGUUGAGAGAUGGGAACAGUUUGAUUUUUUUUUUUACACUAAACACUAUCUGCAUACAUGUAGAACUAACAUAUCCCAAGGCUAUGUUGCUUUCCCUAUGUCUGACAAGAAUGAGUUCAGGAUUUGUGAAGUAUGCUAGCUUGACAGCCAUGGAGACUGCAGGUCUGCCGUCCUGUACCUUUCCACACAACGUACUGGGCUACAUAGUGGUUCCACCUUUCCUACACCCAACUUGCCAAUAUACCUCAGCCCUGCAGUACCAGGAGUUCCUCUAGGGAUGAAUCCAUCUCCAUGGCUAAUCCUUGGAUUUUUAUGAGGUUUGCUAGGGAUGAAAGCCUGGCCCCAUUGAAGUCAAUGGGAGUUUUGCCAUUGACUUCAGUGGAGCCAAGGUGUCACCCUAGGUUCUGAACUGAGACUACCAACUCAUUACACAUAGAUAACUCAGUAGCUCUCAGAUAAUAACAAGUUACUUGGUACAAGAACAAACCAUUGACUCUGUAGAGAAAUGGAAUUUACCCAUCCCCUGAGAGAGUUUGGAUUUAAAUCAUCCAUUCACGGGCAUUCAUACUGGUUAGUGGUCUAGUUUUAAAGUAUGUGAAAUGGAUCCUCUCUCAGCUUCUUCCAUCCAUCGCUAUAUUUUUAACAAUCUUUUCUGUCUUUCUAGCCAGUCCAUGUUGUGGAUUUCUGUGGGAUGUCAUGGUGAUUUCCAUGUACACCUGAAUUUGCUGGGAUGUGCACAUUUUUAGAAUUCCAUUUUAUAAACUGUAGCCCAGAGCUUGGUUUUACCUUUUCAGAUAUACUAUUGCUUCCUAUGAUGGAUUCUGUGUGGCCAAUCAAAGCAUUGCUGUGGGUAUUCAGGAAUUCUACUGUUUCAAAAUAUUACUGAGUAAUAGGAUAGCCUGAAUAAAUACUCCAUUCCUAUUUCGUGUGAACA